GACGAACGCUGGCGGCGUGCUUAACACAUGCAAGUCGAACGGAAAGGCCCCUUUGGGGGUACUCGAGUGGCGAACGGGUGAGUAACACGUGAGUAACCUGCCCUUGACUUCGGGAUAACUUCAGGAAACUGGGGCUAAUACCGGAUAGGAAUCCUUGCUGCAUGGUGGGGGUUGGAAAGCUUCGGCGGUUUUGGAUGGACUCGCGGCUUAUCAGCUUGUUGGUGGGGUAGUGGCUUACCAAGGCUUUGACGGGUAGCCGGCCUGAGAGGGCGACCGGCCACAUUGGGACUGAGAUACGGCCCAGACUCCUACGGGAGGCAGCAGGGGGGAAUAUUGCACAAUGGGCGGAAGUCUGAUGCAGCAACGCCGCGUGCGGGAUGACGGCCUUCGGGUUGUAAACCGCUUUCAGCAGGGGCGAAGCUUGUGGUGACGGUACCUGCAGAAGAAGCACCGGCUAACUACGUG
Molecule: ribosomal RNA, 465 nt
Filed under: uncultured bacterium
Lineage: Bacteria
Description: partial 16S ribosomal RNA
Rfam family: Bacterial small subunit ribosomal RNA
Source: RNAcentral